Eriocheir sinensis (Chinese mitten crab) is the source of this 277-nucleotide long non-coding RNA. RefSeq lists it as uncharacterized. The record is from RefSeq and is a predicted model, not a curated record. The transcript is spliced from 3 exons. Lineage: Eukaryota; Metazoa; Arthropoda; Malacostraca; Decapoda; Varunidae.
CAGAGGUAUGCAGGGCUGCCCUGUGUCCAGUUGCAACAGAGGUAUGCAGGGCUGCCCAGUAUCCACUUGCAACAGAGGUAUGCAGGGCUGCCCUGUGUCCAGUUCCAAAAGAGGUAAGCAGGGCUGCCCUGUGUCCAGUUGCAACAGAGGUAUGCAGGGCUGCCCUGUGUCCAGUUGCAACAGAGGUAUGCAGGGCUGCCCUGUGUCCAGUUGCAAAAAAGGUAAGUAGGGCUGCCCUGUGUCCAGUUGCAACAGAGGUAAGUAGGGCUGCCCUGUG